Molecule: ribosomal RNA, 504 nt
Filed under: melanized limestone ascomycete CR-2004
Lineage: Eukaryota; Fungi; Ascomycota
Description: SSU rRNA
Rfam family: Eukaryotic small subunit ribosomal RNA
Source: RNAcentral
AAGAUUAAGCCAUGCAUGUCUAAGUAUAAGCAACUAUACGGUGAAACUGCGAAUGGCUCAUUAAAUCAGUUAUCGUUUAUUUGAUAGUACUUCACUACAUGGACAACUGUGGUAAUUCUAGAGCUAAUACAUGCUAAAAACCCCGACUUCGGAAGGGGUGUAUUUAUUAGAUAAAAAACCAAUGCCCUCCGGGGCUCCUUGGUGAAUCAUAAUAACUUAACGAAUCGCAUGGCCUUGUGCCGGCGAUGGUUCAUUCAAAUUUCUGCCCUAUCAACUUUCGAUGGUAGGAUAGUGGCCUACCAUGGUCUCAACGGGUAACGGGGAAUUAGGGUUCGACUCCGGAGAGGGAGCCUGAGAAACGGCUACCACAUCCAAGGAAGGCAGCAGGCGCGCAAAUUACCCAAUCCCGACACGGGGAGGUAGUGACAAUAAAUACUGAUACAGGGCUCUUUCGGGUCUUGUAAUUGGAAUGAGUACAAUUAAAUCCCUAACGAGAACAUUGAG